CGCCCACUAUACAACUGAACAUACGGGCCACCCAUCAUUUGCGGGUCAGUUGGAGACCAAUUAUGAUUAGCAGCAAAAUAAUUAGGGUUUUUCCAAUUGGAAACCCUAUAUCCAACACCUGACGGCCCCCAUGAAGACGACUCACCUUCUAGACGAUGUAUCUGGUCAGAGUGACCAAAACGGAAACGUGUCGGAGUGAACUUGCUCGGGCCACCAUAGUCGCGGUUGAAGCGAUAAAAACACCUUUGAGCGAGAUGGCCAUAGCGGCUACAAAUUUGGCAUUGCACUCGAGAACGAAACCUGCGCCCACUCAAGCCAGAAAAUGAGCGACCAUCACGCCUAGAACGUAGAGCCGACUCAAUCACCGCCACGGCCGGAGAGGCUUCAACCACGUUAGCAUGCAUCGGCGCAUCGUGCAUAGCUUGCAUCUGACGAGUUUGAAACUCGAGCAACACAUCAACCAGUUGCUAAAACGGAAGCAUUUUCGACGAGAAAGACACAAGAUUUAAUAUCGCAUCAAUAUCAGAUGGAAGACCGACAAGGAUUACUUCUACUUUUUCGGCUUCUGAAACAACAAAACCAGAGGCCUCAAGCAAGGCACAACUGUUCUGAAUUUUGGCAAUGAACUCGGUAACAGCCAAUGCACCUUUUUUUAGAGAGUGCAGCUCAUGCUUGAUUCUUGAAAUCUUAGCACUGAUAAAGAUAGUAAAUAACCAAUUUGCAGUAAUCCAGAUAUCACAUGUCGUUUUAGCAGCAGUAAACGAAUACAAUAGAGACACAUUAAUAGUAUAUAGUAGCCAAGAUGUUAAAAUCUUAUCUUGUUGAAGAAAUGCAGCAGCAUCUGGAUUUGGAGUCAGCAAGCCAUCCGGUGAGGCCACGAACUUAGGCGGAGCAGGUAAAGUUCCAUCUAAAAAACCUUGUAGCUCAUAUCCUUCUGUAAUUAAUAUGAUAUGUUGCUACCACUGCACAAAUUUUUUUGCAUCUAACUUCACUGUAUCAUGACGAGGAAACACUUGGAUCAAACGUGAAUUGGAAAACGAUGAUGGAGGAUGAUCAACAGACGUGGAGUUCUGUGAAUUGGCCAUAAACAACAAAGAAAACAGCAGCAGACAUCGACACCUGGAGGAACUAGGCGACUGAUACCAUGUUAAGUGCUAAGUAGAAAACAUAGCAAGACUACAGAGUAAUACUUUCAAUCAAUCUUUCUUACUUCCUUUCUUUGAAUACAUUGGCUAUGUUUGUACACACAUACCAGAGCGACUAUUCUUGAUUAACUGCAUAUCAAACUAAUUACGAGAUUCUAUAACAAACUAACAACUAUAACAGUCUUUAUAUUACUGUUAACAGAGCUCACUGCGUAUGGACUUGGAGGAAAUAAAGGUGCGUAGGGACCUAGAUAUUGAGUUAGAACAUUAAUGUUGGAGAUGCCUAGUGCUAUUUGUGUUUCACUUCAGGUUCUACUCUUGAUUCCACCAAUACUGGUAGCAAUUCUCCUAUCACCAAUUGGUGUAUCUCAAGCUUUGGUUAUUCAAAACAUGCCCGCUCCCUUUGGAUUACUUUUAAUUUGAACCAUUUUUUCACUAAUUUUGGUAUUUGCUUGAUUAAUAUAAAACAUCAACAUUUUCAAAUUUUCAAUCCAUCGGAU
Molecule: long non-coding RNA, 1645 nt
Filed under: Gossypium barbadense (sea-island cotton)
Lineage: Eukaryota; Viridiplantae; Streptophyta; Magnoliopsida; Malvales; Malvaceae
Description: long non-coding RNA (GBAR_LNC018760)
Source: RNAcentral